AUACGGAGGGUGCAAGCGUUAUUCGGAAUCACUGGGCGUAAAGGACGCGUAGGCGGGUUGGCAAGACAGAUGUGAAAUCCUACAGCUUAACUGUAGAACUGCAUUUGAAACUGCUAACCUAGAGUAUGGGAGGGGGAGAUGGAAUUAGUGGUGUAGGGGUAAAAUCCGUAGAUAUCACUAGGAAUACCGAAAGCGAAGGCGAUCUCCUGGAACAUAACUGACGCUAAGGCGUGAAAGCGUGGGGAGCAAACAGGAUUAGAAACCCUAGUAGUCC
RNAcentral lists this ribosomal RNA (274 nucleotides) under uncultured bacterium. RNAcentral's name for it is "partial 16S ribosomal RNA". It matches the Rfam family "Bacterial small subunit ribosomal RNA", at positions 523 to 796 of the family's 1533-position model. The record is from RNAcentral.